RNAcentral lists this ribosomal RNA (468 nucleotides) under uncultured bacterium. RNAcentral describes it as "partial 16S ribosomal RNA". It matches the Rfam family "Bacterial small subunit ribosomal RNA", at positions 28 to 507 of the family's 1533-position model. The record is from RNAcentral.
GACGAACGCUGGCGGCGUGCUUAACACAUGCAAGUCGAACGGAAAGGCCCUGCUUUUGUGGGGUGCUCGAGUGGCGAACGGGUGAGUAACACGUGAGUAACCUGCCCUUGACUUUGGGAUAACUUCAGGAAACUGGGGCUAAUACCGGAUAGGAGCUCCUGCUGCAUGGUGGGGGUUGGAAAGUUUCGGCGGUUGGGGAUGGACUCGCGGCUUAUCAGCUUGUUGGUGGGGUAGUGGCUUACCAAGGCUUUGACGGGUAGCCGGCCUGAGAGGGUGACCGGCCACAAUGGGACUGAGAUACGGCCCAGUGUCCUACGGGAGGCAGCAGUGGGGAAUAUUGCACAAUGGGCGGAAGCCUGAUGCAGCAACGCCGCGUGCGGGAUGACGGCCUUCGGGUUGUAAACCGCUUUCGCCUGUGACGAAGCGUGAGUGACGGUAAUGGGUAAAGAAGCACCGGCUAACUACGUG